This 69-nucleotide transfer RNA is filed under the name Muntiacus crinifrons (black muntjac). Its description in RNAcentral is "tRNA-Asp". It matches the Rfam family "tRNA". Rfam says of the family: Transfer RNA (tRNA) molecules are approximately 80 nucleotides in length. Their secondary structure includes four short double-helical elements and three loops (D, anti-codon, and T loops). Further hydrogen bonds mediate the characteristic L-shaped molecular structure. tRNAs have two regions of fundamental functional importance: the anti-codon, which is responsible for specific mRNA codon recognition, and the 3' end, to which the tRNAs corresponding amino acid is attached (by aminoacyl-tRNA synthetases). tRNAs cope with the degeneracy of the genetic code in two manners: having more than one tRNA (with a specific anti-codon) for a particular amino acid; and 'wobble' base-pairing, i.e. permitting non-standard base-pairing at the 3rd anti-codon position. Lineage: Eukaryota; Metazoa; Chordata; Mammalia; Artiodactyla; Cervidae. The record is from RNAcentral.
GAGGUGUUAGUAAAAUAUUAUAUGACUUUGUCAAAGUUAAGUUACAGGUGAAAAUCCCUGUAUAUCUCA